CGCGGGGUUGACCAGUGGCGAGGUCGCAUGGCCCAUAACCAUGUAUCCGAAAGGACACCGUGGGUUCGAAUCCCACCCCCGCAA
RNAcentral lists this transfer RNA (84 nucleotides) under Candidatus Omnitrophota bacterium. RNAcentral's name for it is "Candidatus Omnitrophica bacterium tRNA-Met". It matches the Rfam family "tRNA". Rfam says of the family: Transfer RNA (tRNA) molecules are approximately 80 nucleotides in length. The record is from RNAcentral. Lineage: Bacteria; Pseudomonadati; Candidatus Omnitrophota.